RNAcentral lists this long non-coding RNA (1226 nucleotides) under Phoenix dactylifera (date palm). RNAcentral's name for it is "long non-coding RNA (PDAC_LNC010598)". Lineage: Eukaryota; Viridiplantae; Streptophyta; Magnoliopsida; Arecales; Arecaceae. The record is from RNAcentral.
CCAAGCAUUUUGGAUCACCCCUUCCCAGCCGAGAUCCUCUUAGCCUCACGGAUCGUCCUCACCAUUCCAUGCAUCCAUGGAUCAGUUCAUGCGUACUCUCCGCAUGUAUCCCAACAUCUCUCCCCUAUUCCGCAUCACCAGAUCGUGUUCCAUCAUCUCCCACAUCCAAGAUCUUCGUCCAAUUCCCUUCCGCGUUGAAGAAGUGCAUCAGCUUCGUCCCGCUCGAAUGAUCCCAACUGAAUGCAUCCCAUGGCCAGCCGGAUGAACAUCCCGAACAACUGCCUCUCAGAUUUUCCUUCCGAAUCCAAAGAAUAGAGCCUUCCACAAGUUUCCUCAUCCUCCCGAGCUUCACGGAUCCAGCAAAUCAGGAUUCCUCCCGCUGCCCAGCAGCCAUUCAUCCCGCACCAAGAAAUCAGCAGCCGUCCGCAAUUCAAAGCUUCUCCCGGAUCACUUCUUCCCAACCGAAUCCAGCUUCUUCUGCAUCCCCUAUUCCGCAUCCCCUGCUCUGCGUCCCAGCCACGUCCGAGAUCCUCUCAAACGUCCACAUCUCCUCUGCAUUGAAGCCGCAUCACCAGCAUUCCGGAUCACAUCCACCUUCAGCAUGUGCCAUCCAGCCGUCCAAGCUUCAUCCCAGCUUCACGGAUUGUUAUCCCAGCAACCUCCCGCGUCUUCUCCAUGAUUCAUCCUCAUCUCCUCUCAACCGUGAGCACCAUUCCAACGUCCUCGCCAUCACCUGCAUCCAAAGAUCAAGCUACUUCAUUCCUUUCAGCCCACGAAUCUGAACUAGCUGCACCCAUUCUGGGAUGCGAUCGGGAUGAAUCUUCCACAUGCGUUCGAGCCAUGCUUCCCAGAAACAGAACAAAGUAGGGAGUCUCAUCUCUAGCAUCGGGGGACUCCGACUUUCACAUCCGGAUCAGAUCUUCUCCCCAUCUCGAUCACGACCAUGAAACAGAAGCAAUUCCUCUGCAUUUAUCUUCUCAUUCGGAAGAUUAUAUUAGGGCGAGGAUAACAGGAGUCAGGAGGCUAUAAAAGGGAAGAGUUCUUCUUUUGGGGAGGGCAACCCUUUCUGAUCGAAUAACUCUUGGACUCUUCUGAGAGUUCCCACAUUAGUCCAAGGAGGGGAUGAUCCGAGGAUCUGAGAAGUUCCCACCAAAGCCAGAGAGGGGAGAAAACGCAGGAGGGAGAAGUGAUGGGAAUCCUCUGCAUUGCUGCUACCGUCCCCCACU